GGGUUGUGAGGUUAAGCGACUAAGCGUACACGGUGGAUGCCCUGGCAGUCAGAGGCGAUGAAGGGCGUGCUAAUCUGCGAUAAGCGCCGGUAAGGUGAUAUGAACCGUUAUAACCGGCGAUACCCGAAUGGGGAAACCCAGUGUGACUCGUCACACUAUCAUUAACUGAAUCCAUAGGUUAAUGAGGCGAACCGGGGGAACUGAAACAUCUAAGUACCCCGAGGAAAAGAAAUCAACCGAGAUUCCCCCAGUAGCGGCGAGCGAACGGGGAGGAGCCCAGAGCCUGAAUCAGCAUGUGUGUUAGUGGAAGCGUCUGGAAAGGCGCGCGAUACAGGGUGACAGCCCCGUACACAAAAGCGCAUGUGUUGUGAGCUCGAUGAGUAGGG
Molecule: ribosomal RNA, 386 nt
Filed under: Salmonella enterica subsp. enterica serovar Ohio
Lineage: Bacteria; Pseudomonadati; Pseudomonadota; Gammaproteobacteria; Enterobacterales; Enterobacteriaceae
Description: bacterial LSU rRNA
Rfam family: Bacterial large subunit ribosomal RNA
Source: RNAcentral